ACCGCAUAUAUUAUUCCCAAUCAGUUGCACCACGAUUUUCAUUUAACGGGGCUGAACCCAGCGAGCACUCCGCCGCAGAGGGCCGGGAGGGCGCGUUGAGGCCGCGCUUCCCUCCCGCUUCGCGCUCUCCACGGGGCCGCAACGCCGCCGGUUGGUGCGAAGGGACCGAACGUCACCGCUGCUCCGCGGCCCUCACGCGCCGCCGGCGGCCGCUGCUCCCG
RNAcentral lists this long non-coding RNA (221 nucleotides) under Gallus gallus (chicken). Lineage: Eukaryota; Metazoa; Chordata; Aves; Galliformes; Phasianidae. The record is from RNAcentral.